This 494-nucleotide ribosomal RNA is filed under the name uncultured Desulfobulbus sp. RNAcentral's name for it is "bacterial SSU rRNA". It matches the Rfam family "Bacterial small subunit ribosomal RNA", at positions 894 to 1382 of the family's 1533-position model. Lineage: Bacteria; Pseudomonadati; Thermodesulfobacteriota; Desulfobulbia; Desulfobulbales; Desulfobulbaceae. The record is from RNAcentral.
CAGAAACUACAAAGGAAUUGACGGGGCCCGCACAAGCGGUGGAGUAUGUGGUUUAAUUCGAUGCAACGCGAAGAACCUUACCUGGUCUUGACAUCCCGGAGACCCUUAGGAAACUAGGGGGUGCUUCCAUCUGGAAGAAUCUGGAGACAGGUGCUGCAUGGCUGUCGUCAGCUCGUGUCGUGAGAUGUUGGGUUAAGUCCCGCAACGAGCGCAACCCUUGCCUUUAGUUGCCAGCAGUUCGGCUGGGCACUCUAAAGGGACUGCCGGUGUUAAACCGGAGGAAGGUGGGGAUGACGUCAAGUCCUCAUGGCCUUUAUGACCAGGGCUACACACGUACUACAAUGGCCGAUACAAAGGGCAGCGACACUGCGAGGUGAAGCCAAUCCCGUAAAAUCGGUCUCAGUCCGGAUUGGAGUCUGCAACUCGACUCCAUGAAGUUGGAAUCGCUAGUAAUCGUGGAUCAGCAUGCCACGGUGAAUACGUUCCCGGGCCUU